CAGCAGCCACGGUAACACAGAGGGUGCGAGCGUUAAUCGGAUUUACUGGGCGUAAAGCGUGCGUAGGCGGCUUUUUAAGUCGGAUGUGAAAUCCCUGAGCUUAACUUAGGAAUUGCAUUCGAUACUGGGAAGCUAGAGUAUGGGAGAGGAUGGUAGAAUUCCAGGUGUAGCGGUGAAAUGCGUAGAGAUCUGGAGGAAUACCGAUGGCGAAGGCAGCCAUCUGGCCUAAUACUGACGCUGAGGUACGAAAGCAUGGGGAGCAAACAGGAUUAGAUACCCCGGUAGUCCCUGUCUCUUAUAC
RNAcentral lists this ribosomal RNA (301 nucleotides) under uncultured bacterium. RNAcentral describes it as "partial 16S ribosomal RNA". It matches the Rfam family "Bacterial small subunit ribosomal RNA", at positions 509 to 807 of the family's 1533-position model. The record is from RNAcentral.